UCGAAAGGGAAUCGGGUUAAUAUUCCCGAACCAGGACGUGGAUGUUGAGUGGUAACACAAGCAAAGCCGGGGACGACGGCGGGAGCCCCGACGAGAGUUUUCUUUUCUUGUUAACAGAUUUCAAUGACCCUGGAAUCGGAUUGACCGGAGAUAGGGUUAUCGGUCUGGGAAAGGCGGUCGCUUUUGGACCGCUUCGGUGCGCUCUCGACGUUCCUUGAAAACCUGGCGGCGUGUCUUAUUCGCACUCCUGG
RNAcentral lists this ribosomal RNA (251 nucleotides) under uncultured Isochrysis. RNAcentral's name for it is "partial Eukaryotic large subunit ribosomal RNA". It matches the Rfam family "Eukaryotic large subunit ribosomal RNA", at positions 1594 to 1841 of the family's 3401-position model. Lineage: Eukaryota; Haptophyta; Isochrysidales. The record is from RNAcentral.